Non-coding RNA from Vicia faba (fava bean), 348 nucleotides. Lineage: Eukaryota; Viridiplantae; Streptophyta; Magnoliopsida; Fabales; Fabaceae. The record is from the annotation of a GenBank genome assembly.
AUGAGGCGGGGCGGAGCAGUUGUGAUGUCGUUGAUCUCGGAUAACCGUCGGUGCUUCUGCGCAAAGGAGGGCUUCGCGUCAGUGAGUGAAUUUGGCCGACACAGAUGUGGUAGUGAGGGCUGGAUGAUCGGAUCCGAGAAUGGAAGUGCGGUGUCAGAGGAAGUCUCGGUGGGUCGCGGUGUUCAACGCCAGAAGUUGUGGGGAUUUUGCGAAUUUCUGCUUCUUCUUCUAUUCUUGUAUUUCUUUUACUUGGACAACGUUAGGAGAGAACGUGUCGGAAAUCGAACUAUCAUGAUGAAGGGCGGGAGUCUGAACAAUGAUGAAUGGUGUUGGACGGAACAUGGAUGA